This 81-nucleotide transfer RNA is filed under the name Treponema sp. RNAcentral's name for it is "tRNA-Leu". It matches the Rfam family "tRNA". From Rfam's summary of the family: Transfer RNA (tRNA) molecules are approximately 80 nucleotides in length. Their secondary structure includes four short double-helical elements and three loops (D, anti-codon, and T loops). Lineage: Bacteria; Pseudomonadati; Spirochaetota; Spirochaetia; Treponematales; Treponemataceae. The record is from RNAcentral.
GCGAGGGUGGUGAAAUUGGUAGACACGCCAGACUUAGGAUCUGGUGCUUUCAGCAUAGGGGUUCGAGUCCCCUCCUUCGCA